Molecule: transfer RNA, 62 nt
Filed under: Cofana yasumatsui
Lineage: Eukaryota; Metazoa; Arthropoda; Insecta; Hemiptera; Cicadellidae
Description: tRNA-Cys
Source: RNAcentral
AAUCUUAUAGUUUAAAAUAAAACAUUAAAUUGCAAAUUUAAAAUUAAUAAUAUUUAAGAUUU